CUUCUGGCAAGUUGAUAGACCCACAGGAGGGACUUGCAGAAACCAGCAGGUCCUCUCUAAUCACCCUGAGACCCUGUCCAGGUUUGUAAUGCCACUCUUCUUCCAUCUGCAGUUGCUGUUGAUGAAACACCUCCCGCAGACUCUGGUGAUGAUAUAAAGGAAAGGGCUUCAGAAGGAGCUUUGGUGGAUGUUGCUGACCUGCUGGAAAGCAUUCUGAGAUCUCUGGGUGAUACCCUCGUUGGGACGGUGCGGCUGCUGUUUGGUGGAAAAAAGCGUGCGUGGGAAGGCUAAAGGGCAACCAGUACAGUAAAUAUCUUCCUUUCUAAGGCAUCCUACGACAUCCCUGCUUCUGCACAGCCGUUGCUGCAACUCCCUGAUGCUGGAUCUCAUUGAAUUCCAAGUGCUGCCUGUGACACCAGCUCCUCCUGUCGCUCUUCUUGCAUGGGAUCCAUUCUGCAUGCUCAUUACCCGUGGCAAAAGCUACCAAUAAAGCAAAAUUCAAA
Molecule: long non-coding RNA, 503 nt
Organism: Rhea pennata
Lineage: Eukaryota; Metazoa; Chordata; Aves; Rheiformes; Rheidae
Exons: 4
Source: RefSeq, a predicted model, not a curated record